RNAcentral lists this long non-coding RNA (2789 nucleotides) under Nicotiana tabacum (common tobacco). Its description in RNAcentral is "long non-coding RNA (NTAB_LNC015690)". The record is from RNAcentral. Lineage: Eukaryota; Viridiplantae; Streptophyta; Magnoliopsida; Solanales; Solanaceae.
AAUCCAUUUAAAUUGUAGAUUGAAAAUAAGAAUUUAAUUGCGUAAUUCCUUUGUGUAUCCAAAUGGCAUACAUAUAUGUAAUUUGUAUAAAAAAAAAGAUCUCAUACAUAUACACAAACACAAAGACUGUGAGCACAACUUUAUGAGAAGAAAGCGAGAGAAUAUAAUGGAUGCUUAUAGAUUUUCAAUUGCUUUUCCCUCUAAAAUAGUUCCUGCAACAUCCUUAAAAUCCUCAUAUCAUACAAUCAGAUAAAUUCCAAUAAUUUAUCACAAAAUAAAGAAUAUAAUUAGUUAGGUAACACAAAAUAUUGAAAGUUUUUUUUUAAAGAAAGUGCAUCUCCUUCCACGAUAUGUCCAAGUAUUGCUCUCAAAAGAAAUAUUGCCAAGGUGAAACAAAUUUAAGCUUUGAAGGGUAAAAGAAGUAGCAAAAACAAUCUAAUAGUAAAGUAAGAAUUACCUGUAAUUGGUUAAGAGGAUGCAUUGGCUAUCAAGGUUAAGAGUGAUGGUGGUGUUCUUUAUUAUAUAUAUAUUUUUGACGAUACUCUGCACUAUAGAAUGAGAAGCCAGAAGUUUUAAGCAAUUAAUUGUAAUAAGUUAUUAUGUACAUCUCUUUAGGACCCCGUUAAAAAAUUAACGCAUUUAUAACUUUUUAUUACUCUCUCUAAUUGCACAAUAAAUAAACAAUAACUUGGAAGAUCGAACAACUAAAUAAUUGGGAGAUAAAGGCAAAGAAAGGAAGUUAAAGAUAAAUAGCUUUUUCUGGUCUAAGAGAGGUGCCACAAAUAAUUGGAGAGAGUGUACCUGAAAAACUGGAACACCAUAAAAGCUUUUUUCAAAAGUUCCAAUCCUUUCCUUUUCAUAUUUAAAAAGAGCCAGCAGAAUAUGAUUACUUCAGAUUAUAGAAUAAAAAAAUUAACAGUGCACAAAAUAAUAUAUAAACAUGUUAAUUUAUAUUUUAAUGUACAAAACUAUCUUUUGCAUAAGCGGACACCUGAAUAUACUCCUCAAAAAAAUGUCACAAAAGGAUAGGCCUCCAACCAUUUGACUGACAAAACCUAUGCAAUAAUUUCUGAAAUUCCCAAUUGGUAUAUGUAAUUAUCUUUGUUAGAGUAUAUAACUGAGCAAAAACUAUCUUUUCAAUCAAUUUCAAACAAAAUGUACCUUCUGCAUACUAUAAAUUUAUUCCUAAGAUGAAAAAAACCUUGUUAAUGCUCACCUUAGCUACAAGAAUUUUCAAAUAUUGCAUUAAACAAAGGUUUCUUUCAAGAAAAAGUUUCUAAGCACGACUAAUUGUUGUGCUAUCUAACUUGUGCUAAUGCUUGAGUAAGCAUUGUGCAAGGUUUAUUAUUAUCAAUUAAGUUACUGGUACCUUCAAAAUAGACAAAAUAAAGUAAAAUUGUUUUAUCCUUAUUUGUAUUCUUUCUAGAUAUUAUAUCCUCCUUCAGCAUGUUAGUUUAUUUGCAUAAGUUAUAAUAGUUAGCUUUAGACAGUAAUCAAGUAACAUAACAUUUCAAUGUCAAAUAACUCAUUAUUAUGGCACAUAGAGUAAAGCUCAAAGGUACACCUCAAUAAUAAAGUUCUACCACGAUGCUGCUUGUUUGGCUGAAGCAAGUAACAGAGUUGCAUCUAUUAAACAUGUACCUGUAAUAUAUCCAAUUUUUUGUCUAUACCUUUUUAACCCACUUAUCUUGAACAACAUAAUCUUCACUAUGUUGCGCGUCACCAUCACUUGUUUAGUUCCACAUUUCUAUUAAAAGAAGAAUACAACAUGAGAUGCCCAAGGCAAUCACUAAGGUAAAAGGAGGAAUGAAUUCCUAAUAAGGCAAAAAAGUCCAAUAUUUCAGUAUUAUAUUUGAAUGUUCCUCAAAAUAUACAAUUCUAACAUCGAAAGGAAAAUUGACACUUAAGUAAAAGAUAUUAUAAUACUUCAUGACAGUAUCAUGGAGUUUAACAGAAAUUAUCUUUUAAUGUUAAUGUGUUUGUUCCACAUUGACCAUUUCAGAGUCUCUUUCAAGGUCGGAGCAUCUCUAUUCCCAUCUGAUAAAUAUAGUUAAAAAUUAAUGUUAUAAGUUAAUAAAGAAAUUAAUCUUUACUAAUUAAACAUCUUUUUACGAUUCUACCAUCUUUUAAUGGUUUUUAACAUUCUACAUAAACUGUAACCUUAUCCAAGUAAAUAUGAGACCACCUAUGUUAAACUGAAAAUGCCCCACAAUUAAGGAGAUAACCAACAACAACAACAAGAACGACAAUUAAGGAGAUAACCAGAAAGCAUAAAUUAAAGGGGGGAAAACUAUGAAAAAUUCAAUUAUAACAGCAAAUCAUUCCAACUAUAAAAUGACCUCUCUUUUGGAAUAAUAUGAUUGUAUUUCCAUCUUAACUUCAAAAGAUUGACCCAUACUUCAAUCAACUAUGAUUUAUCUGUAUAUAUUUCACAAGUUCGAAUUUUAAUAUUUAGAGCAUUUGUGAUAUCCUCUCAAAUUGUUACAUAAAUAAAUAGCAUAAAAUUGAGUAAAAAAAAAAGUUAGGAUAAUUUUAAUAGAAAAAGGACCUGCAAAGUCAUGAACUGUCCGUGAAUUUUCUCGGGAGCAGAAAGUGUCUUGUCGUUGAAGCCUUUAAUUGCUGCCAAUCAAUAACGUUGUUGAUCCCUGAUUUUCGACUCGGAAUCCAAAUUGAAAGCCUGCCACCAUUGACUCCAAAUUUGCCUCGUCUUCUAUUUGGGGGAGAGUACUGUUAUGUGAGAGAUUUGAGGAAGGGGCAACUGUUUUACCUUUGGGCUUCCAUGAAACGAU